AUAUUGGUCAAUGGACCAUAGCCUAACCCAGCCGAGUAACGUGCAGAAUUUCGGCCCUAUGGGUUGUAUGCUGCUUUUAUAAGGGAAUAAAGUUAGCCUCGUGAGUCUUUUUGCAUGUACCUUAUGGAUAA
Molecule: ribosomal RNA, 131 nt
Filed under: uncultured bacterium
Lineage: Bacteria
Description: partial 16S ribosomal RNA
Source: RNAcentral